This 12738-nucleotide long non-coding RNA is filed under the name Selaginella moellendorffii. RNAcentral's name for it is "long non-coding RNA (SMOE_LNC000172)". The record is from RNAcentral. Lineage: Eukaryota; Viridiplantae; Streptophyta; Lycopodiopsida; Selaginellales; Selaginellaceae.
UAUGAAGCUCAUCUAUAACUACGACUGCUAGUUGGGACAGCUGCCCGUCCGAGUGAGUUCGCUUUUUGAUGGUACGAACUGCAAGUGAAGUAUCUUGAGGUAGCGUUUUACUCCCGUGAGUCCCAAAAUAUCCACGGACACAACAUGUUCCAAGCCUCCUCAAGCCACUCCCAUCGACAGAACCGCAAACGUAAGGCUUCCAUGCGUACAGCACUUGCGAAAGUCCCAGCUGUGAAUGUUGCCCUCUAAAGUUGCCACCUCUUUCCACGUCCAUGGUUGUUUUUCUCUGUCCAGCACCGCGACCACAGCUUUAGAAUCAUGUAUCCCACAGCAUGUCGAAGAGCUAUCCACAGCACUCCACUAAACUCCAUUUGGAUCCGCUAAACUCCGCCACAUCUUCGAUCUGGAGCAGCACAAGUGCGGAGUGGUGCGAGAAGUAACUGAGAUAGUACUGAUGAACACCGUGUUGAGAGACGUCAGGCAAACCGUUUGGUAGCGAGGAAGUGUCCUAAUACCCAGCCUCGAGUCAAACACGUACGGGGAAAGCGAGAUCCGGAAGAAUUGCUUGCCGUCACUGACAUACGUCGCCAGCGCCUGUGUGCAGUUGUCGAAAAAACUGUCGAUAGGAUGGACCUGGACCCAUUGCUGCGUCAGUGGAUUCCCCACCAGGAAAUGCUUCUUGUUGACGAAGAUCUUCCUCCGGUCGCAUAAGACGAGGCCGCCGUGAGAAAGGUAUGGCACAGAAGCUUCGGGUGCAAACCGAGAUUCCCAAGAAUCCGGCAGCUCUUUUAUGACUGGUUCAUUUCUGCAAAAGAGCGAAGUUGUUAUUUCAAGAAAAGGAACGAGUAUAAAAAAGUAUCACCGAGGCCAGCUCGAAGAUGAUAUCGCAAGUACCGAGUAGGUUCAUCAAGUCGGUGGUGCAGUAACAACACGGUUUUUGUUUGAGAGUGACCAUUUUGUCUCCACAGGAACCUGAAACUCGGAUCAUCCAGCAUGCGAGCCCAGUGCUUGCAUACCAGCUUGGACCGUGCUACCCAUUGCAGACCGCUGGAAUUGAGAAGCAGAAAUCUAGUUAGCUCUAAACCUUAAGUCAGAUAUAAGCUUUUACUCUGGGAUUUGGUUGUUGUAGCUCGUCGAAUUGUGAUGCCUCGGGGCUCUGCAUGCAUUGGUGAGAGAGCUCUCAAGUUCGUCAGCUCUACCAGCAUCGACCAGAGUUGGAUUUCUACACUGCUACUUUCAUCGUCUUCGUCAUAGCUUAGCUCGAGCUAUCCUCCAGUUCCAAGCUUCGUUCCACCAAAGUACCUGGAUUUCCAAUUAGCUUUUGUUCUUUCGUUUGGAAAAACGAUGAUAGGUACCUCGUGACAACGAUCAUAACUCCAUCCACACCAGAAUUUUCUCUGGCAGCAUCUUCCUGCCGUCCCUCCAGGCUCUCCACCAUCGCUAACACGAUAGCGUUCUUUGAUCCAAGCUGGAAGAAAAUGAAACAUUCAAGCAAGGAAACGAAGAAGGCGAAACAAAUGAACCACCUUGUAAGCCCAGCACUCGUGAGUUGCCCGUGGAUCCAAGACCUUGCAAACAAAAGAAUGAGCUGAGAUCGCGAUUUUCUUCUUUGCAAAACUAGACCUGGGAGAGAAAUGCCAAUGCGCCUUGUUCAUCGUCCACUGUCCAGAGCGGCCGUGGCGAUGAACUUACUUCCUUUCAUCUCGCACUGCGAAGAAAACCUGCUGUAUAUGCCGAUGCUGCGCCAUCGCUCCAAGAUUUCGCUCCUCUCUGGCGACUGAAAUGCAUAUACAUUGGCGCCAGCGCCGCCGUCCUUCCAUCGAUCGGCGAUCUAGCACCAGCUAGAAAAACCCUAGACGAGGAAUCCAAGCCCAAGCGCGAGUGCCUUUCGAAAAUUGCGGUGCUAUAGAAUCUUGACACACUCGUGGCGCAAUCCUCACCGUCAGUUCAUCCACUGUUCCCGCUCUCUCUCUCUCUCUCGGUAAGUCGGCAAUGUCAACAUCAAAGCAGGUUUGAUCUUCCCAAUUCCAUGCAUUCUCUCUCUCUCUCUCUAGGAAGUUCUCGCUACAUGUAGCUCCUGGGAUUUUGGAGUGUCUUGAAAUAUACGUACUCAUUUGAUCAUUUUUAUCGGCUAGCUCUCACUGUUCUUCUUCUUUUCUGCCUAUUUCUUUCAAGAGAAGCUGGCCAGAAAGACGAAUUUUCUUGUACAAAUCAUCGGGAAAAGAAGAAAUGGAGACUAGUUCUCAUUGAUUAUCUCAAGAGAAAUACGGAAAUAUAAUAAGCUUAAGUGAAAAACCUUUUACAAAAUUUUAAGCUCAUCUCAUUCUCAAACCUUCUUGCAGCCCCAGGAACAUCUUCAGUGUCAAGUUUGAAUAGCUCAUCCGCCUUCAGGUCAACAUAUUCUGACGCGGGAACUAUGGUGUUGCAGUUGGAGCAGCUGGAUACCUGGACUAUCGCCGAUGGUGCCUCCAUUUACAUUGAGAGUCCGGGACCAAUUCUCCAGUGCGUUUCCGACGUGAAAUCCAAUCACCAUGAGUUUGCGAAACAGGGAAUCUACGUGUAUAUGGAGCCCUGGACGCUGCAGGAUUUUGAUGACAGCGGCAAGGCAGUUGGCUUGAACAUCACGGAUAUGCGAGAUCGAUAUCCCUACUGCGGAGGAGUUCCCAGAUACAUCUUUUACUCGGACACGAGCAGACUCAAGAGCCUCAUCAACGAUGCUUUUGCGAAUGUUAGCAACGUCUGCGAGUUAUUGAAGAAUCCUGAUAGCGAGUUUUCCAACAAGAUUUUACAUUAUAGAUCAGUUCUUUGCUUUUUCUUCUUUCAAUACAUGCUCUUCUUUUGCACGUCUCAGCGUCCACAAGAAAUAGAUAUAAGGGUGGAAAUUAAAAGAUGUUUAAUAAAACUCCCUUUACCCAAAACUUUAAACACACAUUUCAUCCCUUAAGCUUGUAAAAAAGGACAUAUUUUAGGUUUUCACUUGUUGUCCUUUCAGCAGAGAAGCCAGCAGCGAUGCCAAACAAAAGCAGCAAGGUGUACAAGGAGCUCCAUCUUCUCCAGAACUACCCACUGUUUUGGUCUUCGUCCUCCCAGCAGACUAGCCUUCAGUUUGGAAGUGUGGAUGAGUUGAAAUCGUACCUGAAAAAGCAGCACCCGACCUGUAUGAAGUGCAAUCGCGGUGAGUGCGGCAACUUCGAUUACUUCAACAACGACAACAUUGGCCAGCCAAGGUAUCGCUGCAGUCAGUGCAAUAAAAAAUUCACUUAUGGCGGAAAAACAAGACCAACCUACAUGAAGCGGCCAAGAUCGAGCAGCAAUGAGGAAGUUGGCAUGGCACAUGAGAACAAGAAGCUCAAGCGCGCUCCAGUUGAAGACGAGAUGAGCAAGGGUUCGCUGGUCCACGAAAGUCAAGCGAAGCAGAGUGGUCAACAGGCCGAUAAAGCUGGGGCGGUGAUCCGGGUGGGGGACAUGGAAGAUUUUGACAUGGAUGACUUGGAGGUGGCUAGAAUCAUGGCACUGGUCGAGGAGAAUGAAGUCCCAAACGAGGAGGAACACAUCCCUCUUGUGUUCCCUGAGGUGGCAGAAAUUGUAGUGAGUGACGAAGAGAUGACUGAAAUUCUGUCGUCAAAUCUCGAGGAUGUGGAUGAUGAGGAGAUGCUAAAUCUCGUGCUUGAGGAGGUUUUGGAGCGGCCAAAACACGAGGAGGGCUUUGCGGAAAUUCAAAUUGGCAAUGGGGAAACGAGCCAAAUCCUCCAAAAGAAUGUGGACAAUGAGGAUCUUGUGCUUGAGGGGGAUUCUCAGGAGGAGAAGGCAGAGGCAAUGGAGGGGGACAUUUAUUUUGCUCUCGAGCUUGAACAGGAUCUCCAGGCCGAAGAAGAUAAGCGAAAGGAGGAAUCCAUGAUGCUCUGGAAGAUUGAAUUGGAGAAAGCUAAAUGGAGUGGUAUGUUUAAUUUCAAAACAAAUCGGCAGAUUGAAUCAACAAUCAAAUGAACACAAUCAGGAUAGAAAAAGAAAAACAAAUACUUCCAUGUUUGGUGUAAAAUUUAUUAAUAGUAUUAGAUCGAAGUACCACUUUUUUUGAAUUAAAGAUGAUGUUCACAACAAGAAUUUUCCACUGGUCCUGAAAUCGGGAAGCAGUCUUAUUGGCCUGGGCAUGUAUCAAGACCUUGUUUCCAGAUUUAAGAUGUGACAGCGGCAAGAUCGGGUCCUUGGCCUUCUUUUCCGCCAUGGUUACCAUUUUCUUGCAUAAUUACUGCUCGGUUUUCCUUGUCAGUGCUAUGAACGUCGGCCUUGCCCUCAUCUUGCUUUGGAGAUAUGGCCAUCUCGUCUGUCUCAGCCUGAGGCCUCUCAACACUGCGACAGCGAAUGCGGAAUCGUUGCUCCAAGAGCUUGAAAGGCCGAGAAUGCAGAAUCGUUGCUCCAAGAGAAAGUAGCUAUUCGGGCCGAGAAAGUAAUCCAAAGACUGCGACAGCGAAUGCGGAAUCGUUGCUCCAAGAGCUUGAAAGGCCGAGAAUGCGGAAUCGUUGCUCCAAGAGAAAGUAGCUAUUCGGGCCUCUUCUGCUCGAUCUAGGACAAUUCUCCCUGCUCCGUUUACUAUUUUCUUUGCCGCUGCACCAUACAUCCACUGCUGCUUACCAGCAUCUAUUACAAAAAGCUUGCCAGUAAAAGCAUAUAAGAAAAGCCAACCUGCAUGUUCUUUGAAUGAAGAAUCGCACAGUGCGUUUGCAAGUUCAGGAAUUGUAGCCUCAGCUACAACUUCAACUGUUCGUACGCCCGCUUUGUAUAAACAUCUAGCUCGCGCAGCCUGUGAAAACAUAAAAUAAAGGUAAAACAGUCCAAGAGCUUGCACUUCCUAGUGCCGAAACUUCAGUAUUAUGGAACAAAGGUCGACCAUACAUACCUGAACAAGCUUGGACAAUAUAAGAGCCACAAAAAAGCGUCUGUACACACGCAAGUUUUGAUUCGCCUCGCUAGCCUUCUCACUAGCUUUUAGACUCCUUUUACGGCCCUGCAUUGGUGCUCCAUGAGCCAUGCGCAUCAGGGAUGCCUCGGUCACCCCAACUCUAGCAACUGCCUGUAAAAUGCGAAAGCAUUACAAUGUCUAUUUCUAGCUUUCGUCUAUAAGAACCUGAUCGACAUAGGUCAAUUCGACAAAUCUUUGACAGUAAACUCCCCAGUCCGGUUCAAGCUCCAUGUGAAUAGGAGUAACCUCGUAAACAAGGUGCAAAUCCGACGCUAAAACAAAACUAUCACGGGCUUUAGCAAGAUCCUCAAAGACAACCUGCAUCCACAUAAUUAAAAUUCGUCAUUGCCAGCAAAAACGAGCGAGAACGUACCAAGAAUUCUUCCGGGCUGAGCGAACUGCCAAACGCUGCUUUUCCUAAUGGACUUAUUUUUGUAGACCUGUAACUCCUGAUCCCACUCUAUCAGUCGCUUGUGGCACAGAAAAGAAUCUUGAGCAGACUUCACGACGUCAUCAAAAGGCUGUGUAGAGUUGAGAAGGGUGCAGAGCGGUUCACAUCCUGUGCCCACCUCCAAAACGAGCUCUCAUCAUUCCAUUCUUUUCCUCGGCGAGACAUGACCGCAACGGUUGACAACCUUCUCUCCGAGUGAGUUCGCUUUGUGAUGGUACGAACUGCAAGUGAAGUAUCUGGAGGUAGCGUUUUACUCCCGUGAGUCCCAAAAUAUCCACGGACACAACAUGUUCCAAGCCUCCUCAAGCCACUCCCAUCGACAGAACCGCAAACGUAAGGCUUCCAUGCGUACAGCACUUGCGAAAGUCCCAGCUGUGAAAGUGCCCUCUAAAGUUGCCACCUCUUUCCACGUCCAUGGUUGUUUUUCUCUGUCCAGCACCGCGACCACAGCUUUAGAAUCAUAUAUCCCACAGCAUGUCGAAGAGCUAUCCACAGCACUCCACUAAACUCCAUUUGGAUCCGCUAAACUCCGCCACAUCUUCGAUCUGGAGCAGCACAAGUGCGGAGUGGUGCGAGAAGUAACUGAGAUAGUACUGAUGAACACCGUGUUGAGAGACGUCAGGCAAACCGUUUGGUAGCGAGCAAGUGUCCUAAUACCCAGCCUCGAGUCAAACACGUACGGGGAAAGCGCGAUCCGGAAGAAUUGCUUGCCGUCACUGACAUACGUCGCCAGCACCUGUGUGCACUUGUCGAUAAAACUGUCGAUAGGAUGGAGCUGGACCCAUUGCUGCGUCAGUGGAUUCGAAACCGGCAUAAGACGAGGCCGCCGUGAGAAAGGUAUGGCACAGAACAUUCGGGUGCAAACCGAGACUCCCAACAAUCCGGCAGCUCUUUCAUGACUGGUUCCUUUCUGCAAAAGAGCGAAGUUGUUAUUUCAAGGAAAUGCAGUAUAAAAGUAUCACCAAGGCCAGCUGGAAGAUGAUAUCGCAAGUACCGAGUAGGUUCAUCAAGUCGGUGGUGCAUGAACAACACGAUUUCGGUUUACGAGUGACCAUUUUGUCUCCACAGGAGCCUGAAACUCGGAUCAUCCAGCAUGCGAGCCCAGUGCUUGCAUACCAGCUUGGACCAUGCUACGUCUGCGGCUAGUAGCCAGGAGAGUAAAUGUGUCUGAAGCUCCAGCGGUAAGCUUCAGCAGGAAGAAUUAAAAGGAGAAGCAGAAAUCCAGUUAGCUCUAAAGCUUAAGUUAAAGGAGAGAAAAAUAACCUUUUCCUCUAGGAGUUGGUUGUUGUAGCUCGUUGAAUUGUGAUGCCUCCUCUGCAUGCAUUGGUGAGAGAGCUUUCAAGUUCGUCAGCUCUACCAGCAUCGAGCGAGAGUUGGAUUUCUACACUGCUACUUUCAUCAUCUUCGUCAUAGCUUUCUUUAAUGUUCUCGGCUCCGUGAAGCUGAAGCUGGAUUCAUCGCCCAUCAAGUCAGAAAGAACAAAACUAAUAACACCAAAGCUUACAAGAGGGUACACAGCUCCAAGAUGAUCAAACCCAAACUUGAGAACCAGGGAGAUCUACACACUCGAUGCAAGUCAGGAGACAACACCAAACUACAUAAGAAAACCUUUGCUUUGACAAUGUGCGUCGGUGCGUCUUUGAGGCAGUCAGCAGCGAUUCCUCCAUAAGCUCGAACGAGUCCUCCAGUUCCAAGCUUCGUUCCACCAAAGUACCUGGAUUUCCAAUUAGCCUUUGUUCUUUCGUUUGGAAAAACGAUGAUAGCUACCUCCUGACAACGACCAUAACUCCAUCCACACCAGAAUUUUCUAUGGCAGCAUAGAUUGGCCGUCCUGCCGUUCCUCCAGGCUCUCCACCAUCGCUAACACGAUAGCGUUCUUUGAUCCAAGCUGGAAGAAAAUGAAACAUUCAAGCAAGGAAACGAAGAAGGCGAAACAAAUGAACCACCUUGUAAGCCCAGCACUCGUGAGUUGCCCGUGGAUCCAAGACCUUGCAAACAAAAGAAUGAGCUGAGAUCGCGAUUUUCUCUAGACCUGGGAGAGAAAUGCCAAUGCGCCUUGUUCAUCGUCCACUGUCCAGAGCGGCCGUGGCGAUGAACUUACUUCCUUUCAUCUCGCACUGCGAAGAAAACCUGCUGUAUAUGCCGAUGCUGCGCCAUCGCUCCAAGAUUUCGCUCCUCUCUGGCGACUGAAAUGCAUAUACAUUGGCGCCAGCGCCGCCGUCCUUCCAUCGAUCGGCGAUCUAGCACCAGCUAGAAAAACCCUAGACGAGGAAUCCAAGCCCAAGCGCGAGUGCCUUUCGAAAAUUGCGGUGCUAUAGAAUCUUGACACACUCGUGGCGCAAUCCUCACCGUCAGUUCAUCCACUGUUCCCGCUCUCUCUCUCUCUCUCGGUAAGUCGGCAAUGUCAACAUCAAAGCAGGUUUGAUCUUCCCAAUUCCAUGCAUUCUCUCUCUCUCUCUCUCUAGGAAGUUCUCGCUACAUGUAGCUCCUGGGAUUUUGGAGUGUCUUGAAAUAUACGUACUCAUUUGAUCAUUUUUAUCGGCUAGCUCUCACUGUUCUUCUUCUUUUCUGCCUAUUUCUUUCAAGAGAAGCUGGCCAGAAAGACGAAUUUUCUUGUACAAAUCAUCGGGAAAAGAAGAAAUGGAGACUAGCUCUCAUUGAUUAUCUCAAGAGAAAUACGGAAAUAUAAUAAGCUUAAGUGAAAAACCUUUUACAAAAUUUUAAGCUCAUCUGAUUCUCAAACCUUCUUGCAGCCCCAGGAACAUCUUCAGUGUCAAGUUUGAAUAGCUCAUCCUCCUUCAGGUCAACAUAUUCUGACGCAGGAACUAUGGUGUUGCAGUUGGAGCAGCUGGAUACCUGGACUAUCGCCGAUGGUGCCUCCACUUACAUUGAGAGUCCGGGACCAAUUCUCCAGUGCGUUUCCGACGUGAAAUCCAAUCACCAUGAGUUUGCGAAACAGGGAAUCUGCGUGUAUAUGGAGCCCUGGAAGCUGCAGGAUUGUGAUGACGGCGCCAAGGCAGUUGGUUUGAACAUCACGGAUAUGCGAGAUCGAUAUCCCUACUGCGGAGGAGUUCCCAGAUACAUCUUUUACUCGGACACGAGCAGACUCAAGAGCCUCAUCAACGAUGCUUUUGCGAAUGUUAGCAACGUCUGCGAGUUAUUGAAGAAUCCUGAUAGCGAGUUUUCCAACAAGAUUUUACAUUAUAGAUCAGUUCUUUGCUUUUUCUUCUUUCAAUACAUGCUCUUCUUUUGCACGUCUCAGCGUCCACAAGAAAUAGAUAUAAGGGUGGAAAUUAAAACAUGUUUAAUAAAACUCCCUUUACCCAAAACUUUAAACACACAUUUCAUCCCUUAAGCUUGUAAAAAAGGACAUAUUUUAGGUUUUCACUUGUUGUCCUUUCAGCAGAGAAGCCAGCAGCGAUGCCAAACAAAAGCAGCAAGGUGUACAAGGAGCUCCAUCUUCUCCAGAACUACCCACUGUUUUGGUCUUUGUCCUCCCAGCAGAGUACGUUUGGAAGCGUGGAUGAGCUGAAAUCGUACCUGAAACAGCAGCACCCGACCUGUAUGAAGUGCAAUCGUGGUGAGUGCAGCAACUUCGACUACUUCAACAAUGACAACAUUGGCCAGCCAAGGUAUCGCUGCAGUCAGUGCAAGGAAAAAUUCACUUAUGGUGGAAAAACAAGACCAACCUACAUGAAGCGGCCAAGAUCAAGCAGCACUGGGGAAGUUGGCAUGGCACAUGAGAAGAAGAAGCUCAAGCGCGCUCCAUUUGAAGACGAGAGGAAGAAGGGUUCGCUGGUCCACGAAAGUCAAGCGAAGCAGAGUGGUCAACAGGCCGAUAAAGCUGGGGCGGUGAUCCAGGACAUGGAAGAUUUUGACAUGGAUGACCUGGAGGUGGCUAGAAUCAUGGCACUGGUCGAGGAGAAUGAAGUCCCAAAUGAGGAGGAACACAUCCCUCUUGUGUUCCCUGAGGUGGCAGAAAUUGUAGUGAGUGACGAAGAGAUGACUGAAAUUCUGUCGUCAAAUCUCGAGGAUGUGGAUGAUGAGGAGAUGCUAAAUCUCGUGCUUGAGGAGGUUUUGGAGCGGCCAAAACACGAGGAGGGCUUGGCGGAAAUUCAAAUUGGCAAUGGGGAAACAAGCCAAAUCCUCCAAAGGAAUGUGGACAAUGAGGAUCUUGUGCUUGAGGGGGAUUCUCAGGAGGAGCAGGCAGAGGCAAUGGAGGGGGACAUUUAUUUUGCUCUUGAGCUUGAACAGGAUCUUCAGGCCGAAGAAGAUAAGCGAAAGGAGGAAUCCAUGAUGCUCUGGAAGAUUGAAUUGGAGAAAGCUAAAUGGAGUGAUAUUUUUAAUUUUAAAACUAAUCGGCAGGGUAGUAUUCUUGGUUGAUUGAAUCAACAACAAAAUCAACACAAUCAGGAUAGAAAAAAAAAACAAAUACUCCCAUGUUUAGUGUAAAAUUUAUUAAUAGUAUUAGAUCGAAGUACCACUUUUUUGAAUUAAAGAUGAUGUUCACAACAAGAAUUUUUCACUGGUCCUGAAAUCGAUCAAAACCUUGUUUCCAGAUCUGAUGUGACAGCGGCAAGAUCGGGUCCUUGGCCUUCUUUUCCGCAAUGCUCCAAACGCAUUGGGGCCAUGGUUACCAUUUUCUUGCAUAAUUACUGCUCGGUUUUCCUUGUCAGUGCUAUGAACGUCGGCCUUGCUCUCGUCCUGCUUUGGAGAUAUGGCCAUCGAGGCCUCUCAACUCUGGCAUAUAAAGACUGCGACAGCGAAUGGGGAAUCGUUGCUCCAAGAGCUUGAAAGGCCGUCUCUUCUGCUCGAUCCAGGACAAUUCUCCCUGCUCCGUUGCAGCAUACAUCCAUACCAGCAUCUAUCACAACAAGCUUGCGAGUAAAAGCAUUCGGUAUAUAAGAGAAACAAACCUACAUGUCCUUUGAAUGAAGAAUCGCACAGUGCGUUUGCAAAUUCAGGAAUUGUAGCCUCAGCUACGGCUUUCAACUGUUCGUAAGCCCGCUUUGUAUAAACACCUAGCUCGUGCAGCCUGUGAAAACAUAAAAGAAAGGUAAAACAAUCAAAGAAAGAGCUUGCACAGUGCCCCUCGGCACCUUGAACGUACUGCAGACGUCCAUUAGCGGCACUUCCUAGUGGCGAAACUUCAGUAUUAUGGAACAAAGGUCGACCAUACAUACCUGAACAAGCUUGGACAAUAUAAGAGCCACAAAAAAGCGUCUGUACACACGCAAGUUUUGAUCCUCUCACUACCUUUUAUACUCCUUUUACAGCCCUGCAUUGGUGCUCCAUGAGCCAUGCGCAUCAGGGAUGCCUCGGUCACCCCAACUGUAGCAACUGCCUGUAAAAUGCGAAAGCAUUACAAUGUCUAUUUCUAGCUUUCGUCUAUAAGAACCUGAUCCACAUAGGACAAUUCGACAAAUCUUUGAUAGUAAACUCCCCAGUCCGGUUCAAGCUCCAUGUGAAUAGGAGUAACCUCGUAAACAAGGUGCAAAUCCGACGCUAAAACAAAACUAUCACGGGCUUUAGCAAGAUCCUCAAAGACAACCUGCAUCCACAUAAUUAAAAUUCGUCAUUGCCAGCAAAAACGAGCGAGAACGUACCAAGAAUUCUUCCGGGCGGAGCGAACUGCCAAACGCUGCUUUUCCUAAUGGAGUUAUUUUUGUAGACCUGUAACUCCUGAUCCCACUCUAUCAGUCGCUUGUGGCACAGAAAAGAAUCUUGAGCAGACUUCACGACGUCAUCAAAAGGCUGUGUAGAGUUGAGAAGGGUGCAGAGCGGUUGACAUCCUAUGCCCACCUCCAAAACGAGCUCUCAUCAUUCCAUUCUUUUCCUCGGCGAGACAUGACCGCAACGGUUGACAACCUUCUUUCAGAAUGGGAAGCUCCUCACUUUUACAGAUUAAUAUCUGGAAAACCAACAUUCGGCAAAUUUCAGAAUACAUAAACGAGACAAGUCUUACACUCUCGCCAUGCGUGUCUAUCCCUGCUCUUCUUGCUCUUCCAGCCAUUUGCCUGUAUCUCGUCGGGCAGUGGUUUCGCAGGCAUGACGACUUGAACAAAACAAAAGCACAGAAUGGCCUUACUAACCACCUAGACAACAAAGAGCACAAACUGAAAUCAGUAAGACCUAUGAAAGGUCUUUGUCAAAACACAAAAGUAACCUCAUGGCAUGGAUGGACGAUGUGAUCUGGAUCCUUGCCGCUAAGUUCAGAGCCUGCUUUUAGAGCACGAACAGUAUUCAUACUAGUAUCGUAAAUGACUUCAAUGUGUUCGUCUAAAGGAACCGGGCGAGGCGAAAGUUAGUCUCAUAAAAUGCAGCCUGCAAAUUAUCAUCAUGGUCUGUAAGACUUGAAUAAAAGAUUGCAAUACCUGAAGCCAUGAUGCAACGGCUGCUACAUUAGGCAUCGUUGCACUCAUUCCUAUAAUUUGCAAGCUCGUGGGGCCGUCGUGCUGCUGCUUUCAUAGUCACCUUUACCGGCCGCAUAUCGUAGCUUAGUUCUAGCAAAUAACCUCUCUCUUUAUCUCCAACCUGCACUAGACUGUUAGAAGAAAGAUAUUGGGAUGUCAGUAUACAUACCAUAUGAAGCUCAUCUAUAACUACGACUGCUAGUUGGGACAGCUGCCCGUCCGAGUGAGUUCGCUUUUUGAUGGUACGAACUGCAAGUGAAGUAUCUUGAGGUAGCGUUUUACUCCCGUGAGUCCCAAAAUAUCCACGGACACAACAUGUUCCAAGCCUCCUCAAGCCACUCCCAUCGACAGAACCGCAAACGUAAGGCUUCCAUGCGUACAGCACUUGCGAAAGUCCCAGCUGUGAAAGUUGCCCUCUAAAGUUGCCACCUCUUUCCACGUCCAUGGUUGUUUUUCUCUGUCCAGCACCGCGACCACAGCUUUAGAAUCAUAUAUCCCACAGCAUGUCGAAGAGCUAUCCACAGCACUCCACUAAACUCCAUUUGGAUCCGCUAAACUCCGCCACAUCUUCGAUCUGGAGCAGCACAAGUGCGGAGUGGUGCGAGAAGUAACUGAGAUAGUACUGAUGAACACCGUGUUGAGAGACGUCAGGCAAACCGUUUGGUAGCGAGCAAGUGUCCUAAUACCCAGCCUCGAGUCAAACACGUACGGGGAAAGCGCGAUCCGGAAGAAUUGCUUGCCGUCACUGACAUACGUCGCCAGCACCUGUGUGCACUUGUCGAUAAAACUGUCGAUAGGAUGGAGCUGGACCCAUUGCUGCGUCAGUGGAUUCGAAACCGGCAUAAGACGAGGCCGCCGUGAGAAAGGUAUGGCACAGAAGCUUCGGGUGCAAACCGAGACUCCCAACAAUCCGG